RNAcentral lists this non-coding RNA (96 nucleotides) under Yersinia massiliensis. Its description in RNAcentral is "Yersinia sRNA 224". It matches the Rfam family "Yersinia sRNA 224". The record is from RNAcentral. Lineage: Bacteria; Pseudomonadati; Pseudomonadota; Gammaproteobacteria; Enterobacterales; Yersiniaceae.
AGACAGUGCCAGUGCGAAGAGAGCAGGCAGAUCGUAAAGACGCCGUGAAUCCAUCCAUGGAGGCUCGAGCCGCGCCAUCCUUGGCGCGGACGCUUU